This 557-nucleotide ribosomal RNA is filed under the name uncultured bacterium. RNAcentral describes it as "bacterial SSU rRNA". It matches the Rfam family "Bacterial small subunit ribosomal RNA", at positions 102 to 694 of the family's 1533-position model. The record is from RNAcentral.
ACGGGUGAGUAACGCGUGGGAACGUACCUUUUGGUUCGGAACAACACAGGGAAACUUGUGCUAAUACCGGAUAAGCCCUUACGGGGAAAGAUUUAUCGCCGAAAGAUCGGCCCGCGUCUGAUUAGCUAGUUGGUAGGGUAACGGCCUACCAAGGCGACGAUCAGUAGCUGGUCUGAGAGGAUGAUCAGCCACAUUGGGACUGAGACACGGCCCAAACUCCUACGGGAGGCAGCAGUGGGGAAUAUUGGACAAUGGGGGCAACCCUGAUCCAGCCAUGCCGCGUGAGUGAUGAAGGCCCUAGGGUUGUAAAGCUCUUUUGUGCGGGAAGAUAAUGACGGUACCGCAAGAAUAAGCCCCGGCUAACUUCGUGCCAGCAGCCGCGGUAAUACGAAGGGGGCUAGCGUUGCUCGGAAUCACUGGGCGUAAAGGGUGCGUAGGCGGGUCUUUAAGUCAGGGGUGAAAUCCUGGAGCUCAACUCCAGAACUGCCUUUGAUACUGAAGAUCUUGAGUUCGGGAGAGGUGAGUGGAACUGCGAGUGUAGAGGUGAAAUUCGUAGA